GGCGGCGUGCUUAACACAUGCAAGUCGAACGAGNUCCAACCUUCGGGUGAAGACCGAGUGGCGAACGGGUGAGUAACACGUGGGGAACCUGCCCUUCUCUCUGGGAUAACUCCGGGAAACCGGAGCUAAUACCGGAUACUCCUUGCGGACCGCAUGGUCUGCUCGGGAAAGCUCCGGCGGAGAAGGAUGGCCCCGCGGCCCAUUAGCUUGUUGGUGGGGUAACGGCCCACCAAGGCGACGAUGGGUAGCCGAGCUGAGAGGCUGAUCGGCCACACUGGGACUGAGACACGGCCCAGACUCCUACGGGAGGCAGCAGUGGGGAAUCUUGCGCAAUGGGCGAAAGCCUGACGCAGCAACGCCGCGUGCGGGAUGAAGGCUCUCGGGUCGUAAACCGCUUUCAGCAGGGAUGAAAAUGACAGUACCUGCAGAAGAAGCCCCGGCUAAAUACGUGCCAGCAGCCGCGGUAAUACGUAUGGGGCAAGCGUUAUCCGGAUUCAUUGGGCGUAAAGCGCGCGUAGGCGGCUUGUUAAGUCAGGCGUGAAAUCCGGGGGCUCAACCCGCGGCUUGCGUCUGAAACUGGCAGGCUUGAGUCUGGUAGAGGAAAGUGGAAUUCCUGGUGUAGCGGUGAAAUGCGCAGAUAUCAGGAGGAACACCAGUGGCGAAGGCGGCUUUCUGGGCCACGACUGACGCUGAGGCGCGAAAGCUAGGGGAGCGAACAGGAUUAGAUACCCUGGUAGUCCUAGCCGUAAACGAUGGGCACUAGGUGUGGGGGGUCAUCGACUCCCUCCGUGCCGAAGCUAACGCAUUAAGUGCCCCGCCUGGGGAGUACGGCCGCAAGGCUA
This 842-nucleotide ribosomal RNA is filed under the name uncultured Actinomycetes bacterium. RNAcentral describes it as "bacterial SSU rRNA". It matches the Rfam family "Bacterial small subunit ribosomal RNA", at positions 38 to 896 of the family's 1533-position model. The record is from RNAcentral. Lineage: Bacteria; Bacillati; Actinomycetota; Actinomycetes.